CCCCGGCCCUAGCCUGUCCCCAGACCCUGGACCAAGGCCCCGGCCCUGCCCCGAACCCCUCAUCCCACCCCCAGGACCCAGGCCCCGACCCUGGCCACCCAGGACAAACUCCCACCCCACACCCGGGACCAAGGCCCCGGCCCUGCCCCGAAGGCCCCACCGGGGACCCAGGCCCCGGCCCUGCCCCAAACUCCCACCCCACACCCGGGACCAAGGCCCCGGCCCUGCCCCGAACGCCCCACCCGGGACCCAGGCCCCGGCCCUGCCCCA
This 270-nucleotide long non-coding RNA is filed under the name Homo sapiens (human). RNAcentral describes it as "non-protein coding lnc-GTPBP4-3:4". The record is from RNAcentral. Lineage: Eukaryota; Metazoa; Chordata; Mammalia; Primates; Hominidae.